Molecule: ribosomal RNA, 374 nt
Filed under: Enterocloster clostridioformis
Lineage: Bacteria; Bacillati; Bacillota; Clostridia; Lachnospirales; Lachnospiraceae
Description: bacterial SSU rRNA
Rfam family: Bacterial small subunit ribosomal RNA
Source: RNAcentral
GACAGGUGGUGCAUGGUUGUCGUCAGCUCGUGUCGUGAGAUGUUGGGUUAAGUCCCGCAACGAGCGCAACCCUUAUCCUUAGUAGCCAGCACGUGAAGGUGGGCACUCUAGGGAGACUGCCAGGGAUAACCUGGAGGAAGGUGGGGAUGACGUCAAAUCAUCAUGCCCCUUAUGAUUUGGGCUACACACGUGCUACAAUGGCGUAAACAAAGGGAAGCGAGACAGUGAUGUGGAGCAAAUCCCAAAAAUAACGUCCCAGUUCGGACUGUAGUCUGCAACCCGACUACACGAAGCUGGAAUCGCUAGUAAUCGCGAAUCAGAAUGUCGCGGUGAAUACGUUCCCGGGUCUUGUACACACCGCCCGUCACACCAUG